Molecule: ribosomal RNA, 915 nt
Filed under: uncultured archaeon
Lineage: Archaea
Description: bacterial SSU rRNA
Rfam family: Archaeal small subunit ribosomal RNA
Source: RNAcentral
CUUUCAUAAAGUGAAUAAGCAGGCCAGUCGAACGACUCGGACUAUGGCGAGAAGUGGCGAACUGCUCAGUAACACGUAGCUAACCUACCCUUAGGACGGAGACAACCUCGGGAAACUGAGGUUAAUACCCGAUAGGUGUGGAUUCCUGGAAUGGUGUCACGCCGAAACGUUAACGCACCAUGUUUGUGUACACGCCUAAGGAUGGGGCUGCGGCCGAUCAGGCUGUUGGUGAGGUAACGGCUCACCAAACCUUUGACCGGUACGGGCCGUGAGAGCGGUAGCCCGGAGAUGGACACUGAGACAAGGGUCCAGGACCUACGGGUCGCAGCCGGUACGAAACCUCCACAAUGCACGAAAGUGCGAUGGGGUUACCUCGAGUGCCGUCUGAAGAAGGCGGCUUUUCCAUUGUGUAAUGAGCCGUGGGAAUAAGGGGGGGGCAAGACUGGUGUCAGCCGCCGCGGUAACACCAGCCCCCCGAGUGGUGGGGAUGUUUAUUUGGCCUAAAGCGUCCGUAGCCAGCUUGGUAAAUCUCUCGUUAAAUCCAGCGUCCUAAGCGUUGGGCUGCGAGAGAGACUGUCAAGCUAGAGGGUGGGAGAGGUCAGCGGUAUUUCUGGGGUAGGGGCGAAAUCCAUUGAUCCCAGGAGGACCACCAGUGGCGAAGGCUGCUGACUAGAACACGCCUGACGGUGAGGGACGAAAGCUGGGGUAGCGAAUCGGAUUAGAUACCCGAGUGGUCCCAGCCGUAAACGAUGCAGGCUAGGUGUUGGGUUGGCCACGUGCCGACUCAGUGCCACAGGGAAAGCCAUUAAGCCUGCCGCCUGGGGGAGUACGGUCGCAAGGCUGAAACUUAAAGGAAUUGGCGGGAGAGCACCACCAGGCGUGAAGCCUGCGGGUUUAAUUGGAGUCAACGCCGGG